Long non-coding RNA from Octopus bimaculoides (California two-spot octopus), 1826 nucleotides. RefSeq lists it as uncharacterized. The record is from RefSeq and is a predicted model, not a curated record. NCBI's taxonomy places the organism in Eukaryota, Metazoa, Mollusca, Cephalopoda, Octopoda, Octopodidae.
GAGAAAGGAUAGAGGGUUGGCAGAGAAAGAGUAGGUGAGGGAAAGAAUAAAAAAAAAGACAGACAGAAAGACAGGCAGAUGGGCAGGCUGACAGACAGAAACAGAGAAAUAACUUUGACACAGAUACAAGCAGAUGUUCUCAGGAAAGACAGACGUACACACGCAUACUAUAGCAGAGGCUUGGACACACCUACAUAUACGAAGACACACACACAUUAACUGCUAAUGGGACACUUCUCAAGACAUCUAUCCAAUUAUAAACAUAUGUAUAACCAUGUAUAAGUAUAAACUACACCGGCCCCCACGCCAUCUCCUUCGUUAGCUGUCUGGCUAUUGACCCGGCUAUCUGACUGACUCUCUACCCGGCUUGCCUAGCUGCUAUCAAGCUAGUCCUUCUGAGAUGGGACAGCAUCGCUUCCAGUACCUCCACAUGCAUCACCAUCUCAACCAUCGCUUUCAUCAUUAUCAUCAUUAUCAUCAUCGUCGUCAUCAUCAUCAUCAUCAUCGUACGUAGAACACUGUCUUCGUUGAAACAACAACCACCAACACCACCACUGGUUGCAAUCGUUCUUGGGUUACUUUUGGGGCAGCCCUACAUAACUGAGCUUGGAGCAACAUUCAACCUCAUCAAAGCCAAAGCUUCCAGACCAACUGCUGCUACAACUUCAGCUGCUGCUGCUGCUGCUACUGUUACUACUACUACUACUACUACUACUACUACUACUACUACUUCUGCUGCUGCUGCUACUACUACUCUUACUACUACUACUACCAUCAUCAUCAUUGACUUCUUCCCAUCAUUAUACCUCUUAUUUGCUAUAUUACCAUAAAGCAAAAUAUUAUUAUUAGUAUUAUUAUUAUUUUCACCUGUUUUGCAAAGAAAAAGAAAAAGGACGAUGAGAAAUCCUACGGAAGUUAACACAGUCUUUUCAUGAAGUGUUAUCGGAUUCGAACAACAGGAAAUAGUUACCCAACAUCAGACAAUGCUCGACUCAGCCCCUGGGCACCUAUUGACCAGGUUCCACUGGCCUGUUGUUGGUAGUUAUCAGUUGGACUGGUACAAUAGCAGAAAACCACUGUGAAAUAUCCUUCAAGGUUGUUUCUCAUCCAAAACAGCAAUUCUAAAAACAGAAAACAAGGAAGGAAUUUAACAACACAAACAAGAAACACAAAACAGUUAAAUGUAUUAAUAAAAAAGACCUUGAUAAAAAUAAUAAUAAUAAUAGUAAAGACCAAAAUAAGGGAAAUAAUUCUUUUUUCUCUCCCUACUGUUUUAUCAACUGUUGAAGUUUUAAGCUAGCCCUUUCAAAAUGCCAAAUGGACGGAAGGGCGUAACAACUUUUCAGAAACUGGGAACUAUUAUGGGUCCAUGUCUCAUUAUAUUCGGCUUGCCCUUAUUGAUCCCUGGUAUUGCAAUAACUGUUGUCCCUUUCUAUGAUGAGACUGGGUUCCCAAAAUUUGGAGGCUUACACAUUUUUGGCUUUUUUAUCUUGUUCACAGCAGUCUUGCUCACUAUUUCAGGUUGUGCAUUCAGUUGCAUGCGCAAAGCAACAAUAUCGCCUCUAGAACAGGUGCAACUCGUGUCUCCAUGGGGAACACCUCGACAUGGCUCUGUAUUGCAGCAGAAAGAAGAACUGAUGCCAUGCACUGGAGAAAUGUCAUAAAAUUGAGCUCCAAAUCAAACUAAUACAGAUCCUGUAGACCUUAUACAACCUGCCUGCUAAGGGGCAUAAGAAAGCCAUCUUUGUUAUUUAUUCAUUCCUUUGGUGUAUUUUUUUCUUUUCACUUAUUAUUCAAUUUUUUUCAAUAAAUAAAAAUGAACAACA